This is an RNA transcript of Loxodonta africana (African savanna elephant), 9202 nucleotides long. It is a transcript of the gene named paired immunoglobin like type 2 receptor alpha, with no coding region annotated. The record is from RefSeq and is a predicted model, not a curated record. The transcript is spliced from 12 exons. NCBI's taxonomy places the organism in Eukaryota, Metazoa, Chordata, Mammalia, Proboscidea, Elephantidae.
UCAGAGACCCCAGCCAGUCAAGGCCAGGGCCACUCCCCUCAGCCUGAGGUGGAGGCUGGAGGACCUAUGAACAUAACUGUCUUGCCAUUGGUGCCAAGAGAAGCUCUUUUGCAAUACAGUAUAGGAAAAGAAGAAACCAGACUGUUGAAGGAAGUGCUGGUCAUCUUGGGAUGGGUGGGUUUAGGGAAGGUUCUCACACUUCCGUAUAACAGAGUCCCCUCCAGAAGUGAGAAGGAGCCUGAUCCUCGGUCUCCCACAUUCUCCUGGGGGCUUUAUCCCCAGUCCUGUGAGUCCCCCAGGUAUUCCCUCUCAGAGCUCCUCUCUUGCCUCCACAACUCUGCUUGUCUUCUCAUCAUCCCCUGGAAGAUACUGAGGUGAUGAGUGUGCCCCUGCUACUGCUGGUGCUGCUGCCAGCACUUGCACAGGCAGAUAACUAUGGCUUUGGGGUUGAGCAGCCAGCACACCUCUCAGCCCCCAAAGGUGACACCAUCCACAUCCCCUUCAGCUUCUAUCACCACUGGGAGUCAAUCGACGUGAGUAUAUCCUGGAGGCGGGGUCACUUCCAUGGGAAGUUCUUCUACAACAUGACCCCACUUUUCAUCCAUGAGGAUUACAAGGACCGGCUCUCACUGAACUGGACAAAGGGUCAGACUAAAGGCUACCUCAGGAUCUCGGACCUGCGGAGUGAGGACGAGAAUGAGUACUUCUGUCGAAUCCGAAUAAACACACAGAGGCAUGGUGUACAGCAGUGGCAGUCCAUCCACGGGACCACACUCACCAUCAUUAGUGAGAAUUUGCAGCCAGGUGCCAGGACCACCACCCAGGGCCCCACCACCACAGCCAGCCUCUUGAUGGAUGAAAGCUCAGCGUCUGGGCCUCUGAGUCUGGGAGCCAAGGUUGGAGUGGCAGUGGCCUGUGCUGCAUUCAUAACCGCAGUGUUGGGAUUGAUGCUAUUCCUCAGGUGUAAGAGAAGAAAAGGUGAAAGCUUACACAGCAGGACUGCCUCGCAGAGCAUGAAGAAGCAGGGACAGGCAGGAUGGAGAAAUGCUGGUCUCCCUGGAGGUACAGCCACAUUGACUAUUUUGGUUCCAACAGGUCGACAGACUAAAGCCAAAACCCCUGCCAGGGAGCCCUUCCAAAACACUGAGGAGAAAUAUGAGAAUAUUGGGAGUAAAGCAUACCUUGAUUCUUCCCAAGGACAAGAUACAGAUCCCAAGCUGGACCACAAGCUUUCUUUUUUUGGGACUUGCCCAGGACAACGGCAUCGUCUAUGCCUCCCUUGUCCUCUCCAGUCCGACCUCCCCAGAAGCACCUCCCUGCCAACCUCACCAUGGGAGCCUCCAGGCAGAGACCCUUUACACUGUCUUAAAGGCCAAAUGAGUGUGACAGUCCUCUCACCUGAACCAAGACUGAAUGACAACCUCCUUCGACCAAGAUCCAUCUGACGUCAGCAAUGAAUGAUAUCCCUCGUGCCAAGUCCUCUUCUGAAUCCAGCCUGAAUUUCUGGCAGUUCCCUUCGAUGCACUGCUACAACCGUUUUUUAAUUAUCUUCAGCAAAAUUUUACUUGUGUGUGAUAUUUAUGAUAAUUUCUCCAUUCUGUUGGAUCACCUUUCUUUGGAAUGGGCACAAAUAUGCAUCUCUUCCAGUUGAUUGGCCAGGCAGCUGUCUUCCAAAUUUCUUGGCAUAGACAAGUGAGCGUUUUCAACAUUGCAUCCAUUUAUUGGAACAUUGCAACUGGUAUUCCAUCAAUUACUGGAGCCUUGUUUUUCACCAAUGCCUUCAGCGCAGCUUGGACUGCUUCCGUCAAGACCAUCGAUCCUUGAUCAUAUGCUACCUCCUGAAAUCUCCAUUCUUCUUCUUCUUCCAUUGUCAUCAAGUGGAUUCUGACUCAUAGCGACCCUAUAGGACAGAGGAGAACUGCCCCGUAUGGUUUCCAAGGAGCAGCUGGUAGAUUCGAACUUCUGACCUUUUGGUUAGCAGCCUGAGCUGUUAACUGCUUCGCCACCAAGGCUCCGAAAUCUCCAUUAAACCAAAAAAACCCAUUACUGUCGAGUCGAUUUUGACUCAUAGCAACCCUAUAGGACAGAGUAGAACUGCCGCAUAGGGUUUCCAAGGAGCGGCUGGCGGAUUCGAACUGCCAACCUUUUGGCUAGCAGUUCUACCUCUUAACCACUGCACCACCAGGGCCCUGAAAUUUCCAUUAGGGAGAUGCAAAUCAAAACCACAAUGAGAUAUCAUUUCAUACCCACUAAAACGUCUAAGAUUAGAAAUUCAGAAAGUAACAGUUGUCGGUGAUGCUGAGAAAUCGGACCCCUCAUCCAUUGCUGGUGGGAUUGUGAAAUGGUACAACCACUGUUGAAAAAAGUUUAGCACUUCCUCAAAAAGUUAAACAUACAGUUCCCAUAUGAUCUAGCAAUUCCACUCCUGAGUAUAUACCCAAAAGAAUUUAAAAAAGAAAUGCAAACAGACACUUGUACACCAAUAUUCAAUGCAGCAUUAUCUGCAAUAGCCAAAAGGUGGAAACAGCCUAAAUGUUCAUCAACAGAUGAAUGAAUAAAUAAAAUGUGGUACAUACAUACAAUUGAAUACUACUUAAUCAUAAAGAGAAAUGAAGUCCUGAUACAUGUUACAACUUGAAUGAAAACAUUAUGCUGAGUGAAAUAAAUCAGUCACAAAGGGACAAAUAUUGUAUGGUUUUACUUACAUCAAAUAUCUUAUAAGCAAGAGUAUAGAAACCAAAGUCUAUCAGUAACCACUGGAAAUUACCAAGGGCUGGUGAGAGGGAGGGGAAAAGAGGGACUCACUGCUCAGCGGACACAGAGCUUCUGUUAAGAGUGGUAGGGCAAUUUGGAAGUGAGUAAUGAUGAUAAUGGUCAACCAACAUGAUAAACAUAACUAAUGUCACUGAAUUAUACACAUGAAGAACAUUGAAAAGGCAAAUGAUUUGUUACAUAUUUACCACAAUAAACAUAUUAAAAGAUAAUGUAAAAAUCUAUAUUUCAUAUGCUUGGAAGAGAGAAGCUGAGGAAACAAGUGAAUAAAUAUCCUAAGUGGCCUCAUAGGGAAAAAGGGAGAGUGAAGGGACGCAACCUGCUAAUCUCUGAAGUUGCUCCUUUAAGAACCAAAAAAAAAAAUACAUUUAGAACUGAGAUUAUCAUCAAGAAAGAAGUUUAUAGAGAUGUGAGAAAUUAGAACAAUUGAGGAAGAGACCUGUAAGAGAUAACACCAGUCAAUCUGGGCUACCUUGAGACACGGACAGGAUGAGUCCUUGGAAAAUUAAAUCUACAUAACCAGAUGCCCUAUAGGAAUCUCCUAAAAGGAAACCCCAAGAUCUUUAUUUAAACCAACAGUUAAGGUAAAUCUUACUUUGUUUUCUUCCUCCUCUUCCAUCUCUGACUCCACUUCCUCUUCUUUCUCCAAGCAGGAAUCUGGGCUGUUAGGCGCAGAAAGCAUUAAGUCUAGAACAGAAAAAAGAAGGUAAGGGUAAAUAACUUAUCCAAUAAAACAGUAGGUGAAUUAAUGAAGCUGAUCCCAGAGAAUCAGUAUUUUCACUCCACCCUUCAUGUCAGUGGUAUUUUCUUCAUAAAACAUGAUCCCAGAUUAUCAUGGUUCCACCCUUUCAAAGUCCACCAGUAUCCAACAUGCACCCUCCCUCCCCACCCCCUUUUGUUUAUUCUUCUCUCCGUGCAUUCAUCCAUCCGAGAUACUUGGUCAAUGACAUUCACAGAACGCCUCCUACAGAAUCCAGAACUAGGCUGAUAUCGGUGGAUAUAAAACAAAGAAAAGCUUCAAUUGCUGCCCUCAUGAAGGGAUCCCUUCUCUCCCUCUCCACUCCUCACCCUGUAAUGGUCAUCCAGUUAUCCUACCUUUUCCUUCCCCAGUACUGUCAAAUCUGUUGUACCGGCUGCGGAAACCAAAUAAGUUAACCCGCUCCUGUUGAAACCAAGAAACGAAAGCAUCAUCUACCUUGGGAAAUGUAGUCCACUAUACUCCCAAGGGUUAUUUUUGUCCUGCCUUCUAGAUUUUAAUAAUGAAGAUUUUUAUUUUCAUUUUCUAUACCAUUUUCACUUGGAAUUUCACGUUAGGCUUAUCUGGAUUUUCAUGGAGAUUAGAUAAUUAUAAUAUCUUUUUCCAAUUUAUUUCAUUUAUAAUUCAAUAAAUAAGUGGGAAGGAGAAAUUCAGUUUGUCAUUUUCCACCCUGCCCCAUUCCCAAAGGCAGAGUUUGAGGGUAAAAACUGACUGUGCAGAAAACAGAGGUUAGGACUUAAGAGUAUCUGAGACUCAGAGCUAAACAGGGAGGUAGAAUGGUCCCUACCACAAGCUGUCUCUAUCUGAGCUGACAGAGGGCCCCACUUGUCAAAAGGCAGGGAAAGGAAUGGAUGAUUAAAGGAGUCAAGGGAAUCUGGCCUGGGAAGAAAAGAGUAGUUCUAAGACUAUAAUGGGGAAGGACAACCUGGUUUUCUGCAGUGUGACAUGUAUGGUUUGUUUUGUGUUACAAGUCCCAGAGAGGAAAGGGUAUGUAGGUCUGAACACUCUCCCACCUGAAUGCUGAUCUGUUCUGCCGCUUGAGCCAUCAUUAGGGCUGCCCCCAGUUUCUGUCUGCAGUCCUUGUUCCUGCACUUUUUCUGAAAUGGAAGAUAAGAGUCAAUGAUAAAUACUGACCUGAAGAUUAAAGUCAGUAAUAAAAAUUAGGGAGGUGACCCCAGUACACUGCUACUCACCAUACAUUGUCUUUAACUACAUUUAUUUCCAGUUUCUGGUAAUAAUAUGAUACUCCCAUUCUUAAUCUUUUGGGGUCAGAAACAUCCUCCCUGCAACAUUUCAACCAAUAUUUUGGUAUCCUCUCUAAAAGGAAUCCCAUGGAAAUUUGAAAAGACAAGAUGAAAGAAGUUCAAGUGAUUUCGCUUUCAAGCUUCUCAGAAGAUUGUUUAGAUCCGGAUGCCUGAUAUAUCUACUGCCUGAGCUGCUGGGCCUCUGCUCAUUUGUAACCCAAAGUGACUACUGGGAGGAUACGUGAUUUAGCUAAUCCAGUGGUUCUCAGCAAGGGCAGGUUUGCUCCCUAGAUGCAUUUGGCAGUAUUUGGAGACACUUCUUUUGGUUGUCACAAUGUGGGCCCAAAAUGUCAAUAGUGCUGUGAUUGAGAAACUGAGUUAACCUAUGAUCUCAUUUCUGCCACACGGGCUUUGGCUAAAACCAGGGUUUUCAAGAAGGCUCCCUCUGUGUAGGCAGGGAAGGAGACUGAGAAAAAGCAAUACCCUGCUGCAAUCCCGGUAGAAAGAAGAGCCCCUCAUGAAUAACGUCACCCUUGUCACACUUGGUCAGACAGUGGACUUUCUCCCAACACAGCUUCCCCUGGGAGAAAAUCAGGUAUAAAAAAAGGGAAGGUUUAGUUUUCAGGUUCCCUGUAUCAUGACUGAUUCCGGAAGGUUGCUUACCACUCCAGCUAGCUCCAGGGACAGCUCCUGAAAGUUCUUUAGCAUGUUGACUGGGAUCCAAGCACGAGAAACUGUUUCUCCAAAAAAUGUCACGUGGUACUUAGACUGAAAUAAAAGAUGGUUCUGUAAGGGCCUCCUGUCCUUCCCCGUGCUUUGGCCUUCUAGCCAGAAAAAGCAGGGGAAGAACUGAGAAUUCACAGUGAAGGAGAUACCUGGCCUCAUCUGCUCCCUUAAGCCUGACUCACCGACCCUACCUCAUUCCAUUGUUCUUCCACUCUGACUUCAGGAAUCAUAGUCAAGGUAUAUUUAUCAAAAUCAUAAAUGUCCUAGUAAUGAACACUUAAUUAGAUACAAGUUUGUUUCUAUGUGUGAAUACUUAUGUCUGUAUUUGUUACUCUAGUUCAGUGUCUGUUUCUGCUUAUGUCUGCAGGCUGUAUCUAUGUUUGUAACUCUGUCCAUCUGUUAGAAUGGAUUUGUUCGUUACUUUGGCCUGAGCACCUGCCUCCCCCGAACUUCUUGCUUCAUAAGGGAGAUGAACUGUUAAGUGAGAGGAAACUCACCGGCAGAGAAUCAAGAUGAGAAGCAAAAAGAAAAUAUUCCCCCAGGUCAGGAUCAGAUUCUACCAUGCCUGGCCACCUGGAGAAGGUGGAUGGUGCAUGGGAAGAAAGAGAAGGGGUUGAAUGAGCAAAACAAAAACUCAUCAAUAUAUAUGUACAGAAAAGGGCAAUAUGUUUUUCAAACAAAAGAUCCCAAAGAUAGACCCCCUCUCAGCCCUCUCCAGUGGCUGCUACCAAAUGACUGAAAUGACUUCCAUGCACAUACAAAAAAGCUCAGAAUCUUCCUAGUAAACAUACCUCACCCUUCCACACCUUCCCUCAGUCCUGAGAACAAAAUCUUCUGACUAGGGACAAUUCCAAAGAAGAAACUGUCCUACCCUUCCUUGUUUUCUUUACUUUGUAUGGCUCUCACAUCCAAUGUUAAAAAAUGCCCUAAAUCUACCCUCCCCUUUCUACCUACUGUCAGACUCUUGUUUAUAUAGAGAUACCACCUCCACCCUACAAACUCUAGAAAAUAUGCUCUUUCAAAGCCUCCAAGCUCAGUACUUUUAUCUUCUCCCUCACCCCAUGCUCUUUCUAAGACAAGUGCCAUCCCCAUUAUAAACACUUUCCAUUUCCUCCCCUUCCUCCUUGAAUCUACCAUUCCCAGGUUCAUGAAGAAUGCUCGGACUAGUUCAUGGUGACCUACCAGGGGUAACCAUAUUGCUUGGCCCAGAUGAUGGAUCCUGGGAUGUAGGAGGCAUAAGCCACAUCACUCUCAUGACCUGUCCAGGUCUCCUCAGGAAUAUCACAGCUAUUAUACUCCAAAUCUGCCAAAAAAGAGAUGGAAUGAAGGGAAGAGAAGAGGCUCAUCAAGUGAAAAUACAGAUGAGGGCUGGGGAGAGGCAAGAGAUGGGACCAAAAGAGCAUCUGGGAGAAGGGCAUGGAGGAGGAAGAAUAAAGAUCCAGAGGGAAAGUGCAGCUAGAGCCAAGAGAAGUAGAAGUGCUGCCUCCGUAUACUCUAUGGAAAGUGAUUACAAACAUCUGCUCUUAUCGCACUCUGUCUGGCUCUGCUCCCCUCUAACUAACACCAUGACAGUAACUUCUAUGAGACUGCUUCCUCAUCUAUGAAAUAAUUGAGCUGGACUACAUUGCCAUAAUCCUUUCUAAUAAAGUUUCAUUCUAGAAUUCUAAGCUCACUGGAUCACUCUCAUCUGCUUUCCCCCAUAUAGCCCAUUACCCUCCCUAUCCACCAGCCCAAUGUCAAUAAUCUAAUGAGGAUCAACAGGGUCAGACCAGGGCUGAAGAAAAUGGAAUUCACUCAAAACAUAAGUUUAAGAUUCCAGGCCUUCCCCUAUAACGUAACUCUGCAGGAUGUCUUCCUCCAGCUCACUGCACCCAGAUUCAUCUUGACAUGAUACGAAGACCCCUUCCUCUCUUCCAAGCACUACAAGGACCACUUGUGUGAUAAUGACACCUAUGUCAUAUUUAAUCUAAAGGAUACAUGCAGAGAAAGAAAGGAGAAGAACAAUAAAAUCUGGAAGAAAAAAAAUUUCCACUCCAUUCUACCUGUAUUCUGGUCACAGGACCAAUUAUCUGGAAGAGCAGAGGGGUCAAUAUUCCUAUGCAGCCGCCUCCAUUUCUCACAGUUUGGGGAAGAACACUGGACCCAGACUAGACAUUGACCUGUGACAGGAAAAAACUGAAAGACUCAAAAAUAUGCUCUUCCUUCUAUAAUAUAACUAAAAUUAAUAUAAACCUCUGCCCACCAACAAAUCACACAGGCCCAGAGACCUUAGAGAUCAACUAGUCCAAUCUCUGACUUAAAAAUGGAAAACCAAGGCUCAGAGAAGAUAAUGGACUUGAAGAAAAUCAUCCAUUGGUGACAGAGCUGGACUCAGGACCCAGGUUUCACAUCCCAAUGUUUCUCCUAUACCAAGCUAUCAUCUCACCUCCCAUCAAGGCACAAAGGAGUUUUUCUAGUACUGACAGUACUUUUAAUAAAAAGGUUGUCUGGCCUCUUUCCCCAUAGUACCUGGUUCUCUGUCACUUUCAAAAAGUUCUUUUAAAGGGCUAACCAGCAUUUCUUUUGUAUACAACAACCAGAGUUCUUAUCUAAAUAACAACUGAUUUACUUGUCACUAAAUCAUCAAGUUGUGGCUUUGGGGUCAACAGGCUCACCUUCUUCCAAAAGACCCAGGUCUAAGUCUGUCAUUUCUCAAUCAAUUAUUUACCCUCAGUCACUGCUCACAGGCUAAGCAUUCUUUUUAUCCGUUACCUUCCAAAUCCCCACACUUCUCUGUAUCCCCACAUCCUCUAAGCUGAUCCAGUGCCCCCACACAGCUUCCCUUCUCUCUUCCAUCUCCAAUUUUCAAGCCCACAGGGGUUUUCCAAACCAUAGCCAAACUCACCAAAACCACCUCCCUCUCUUUUUUGCUGGUCCCUGAUCUGAGAAUGAUUCUGAACUGUUUUCUUUGGUUGGUCUUUCUGUCUGUGCUCAUGUUCACCUCGGAAUUUCUCCAGUUCUUCAUUUCCUAGAACGAUAAGGCAAAAGGGUGGGGAGUCGAAAAAGAGAAACUGUAUAGAUAGUAUAGGCCAGUGAAAGAUGGAAGAAGAAUCAUAGCCUAAUAGUUUCAAGCCUUCAGCUGGAAAUUCUUGGCCUUCCCGCUAUCCCUUACCCCAAUUUCCCAGAGUACCCCACUUUCCCGUCAGCCAAAUGACAAAGUAUACCUGACCAUACUUACGAGCUUCCUUCUUUCUUUUGUUUAAUGAGAGUUUAUCGAAUUUCUUCUCAGAAGGUGGGGGAUCUGGCUGGCCUGGCUUAGAUGCAUUUAUCUCACGGACAACUCCAUUUUCCUGAGAUGCUGAAAUCUCUGGAGUAUGAGGCCAUACCCAAGCACUCCUGUAGGGACUUCCGUAGCACAAUCUGGACAAUCUCUUCAAAUUCUGCAUUGUCCCUGUACCGGAAACUCACUCUUCCAACUCUACCAUCUCCCACCAAAGAGACUCAAAAGCAGCAUAAAAUGGAUCCCCUUGUUCAAGGCAUGAUCUGAAACAAAACUUUUUAACAAGAAAGAAAAAGAAACAAUAAAGAUUCCAGCUACCCUUACUGACCAUUAUACAUGUAACAAGGUAUUUACUGUCGCAUCUAAUAGUACCUGCCUGAACUAAACUUUGUACAGAAUCUUAUAAAGAAAUUAAUGGUGAACUAAAACCUCCUGAUUCAGAGA